GGGGUUCUGAGGGGGCUGUGGGGGGAAUUGAGGGGUUAGGGGGUGGUUAUGGGUGUCUCAAUGCUGUGCCCCCCCUUACUCCCCCAGGUUCUGGCUGCAUCUGGGGGACUAUGGGGUGGUUAUGGGGUGGUUAUAGGGUGAUUAUGGGGGUGUCAGUGCUGUGCCCCCCCCAGGUUCCGGCUGCAGCUGGGGGAUUAUGGGGUGGUUACUAUGGGGUGGUUAUGGGGUCGUUAUAGGGUGGCUAUGGGGGUCUCAGUGCUGUGCCCCCCCCAGGUUCCGGCUGCAGCUGGGGGGGCCGCGCUCCGAGGCGCUGGCGCGCAGCAGACGCCGGGCACAGGAGGAGCUGCUGCAGCCGCUGCCCAGCACCGCGCUGGAGCUGAACCCUGACAGCAUCUAUGGGGAUGGUGAGACCUAUGGGGCACCCAGGGGUCCUCCUGGAGCCCUAUAGACACCCAGAGGUCCUCCCGGAGCCCCGUAGGGCACCCAGAGGUCCUCCCAUGGCCCCUUAGGGCCCCCAAAGGUUGUCCCAGAGCCCCAUUGCAACCCAUAGUAUCCUCCUAGAGCCCGUAGGGCCCUCAAAGGUCCUCCCAGGGCCUUAGAAGUCCUCCUAGAGCCCCGUGUGGUACCCAGAUAUUCUCUGAUAGCCCCAUAGGGCCUCCAAAGAUCCUCGUAGUGCCCAUAGGGACGCAUAAGAACCAUACGGGGUCCUCCUAGAGCCCCACUGAGACCCAUAAGAUUUGUCCAGAGCCCAAUAGGAUCCUCCCAGAGUCCUAUAGGGCCUGCAGAGGUCCUCAUAGCGCCCAUAGGGAUGCAUAGGAACCCCAUAGGGUCCUCCCCGAGCCACAUCAGAC
Molecule: long non-coding RNA, 851 nt
Filed under: Phasianus colchicus (ring-necked pheasant)
Lineage: Eukaryota; Metazoa; Chordata; Aves; Galliformes; Phasianidae
Description: lncRNA (ENSPCLG00000015184.1)
Source: RNAcentral